UACGUAGGUGGCGAGCGUUGUCCGGAUUUACUGGGCGUAAAGAGCGCGCAGGCGGUCGUUCAAGUCGCGUGUGAAAGCCCCCGGCUCAACUGGGGAGGGUCACGCGAUACUGAUCGACUCGAAGGCAGGAGAGGGAAGUGGAAUUCCCGGUGUAGUGGUGAAAUGCGUAGAUAUCGGGAGGAACACCAGUGGCGAAGGCGACUUCCUGGCCUGUUCUUGACGCUGAGGCACGAAGGCCAGGGGAGCAAACGGG
RNAcentral lists this ribosomal RNA (253 nucleotides) under uncultured bacterium. RNAcentral's name for it is "partial 16S ribosomal RNA". It matches the Rfam family "Bacterial small subunit ribosomal RNA", at positions 524 to 776 of the family's 1533-position model. The record is from RNAcentral.